RNAcentral lists this ribosomal RNA (460 nucleotides) under uncultured bacterium. RNAcentral describes it as "partial 16S ribosomal RNA". It matches the Rfam family "Bacterial small subunit ribosomal RNA", at positions 338 to 795 of the family's 1533-position model. The record is from RNAcentral.
CCUACGGGGUGCAGCAGUGAGGAAUAUUGGUCAAUGGGCGCGAGCCUGAACCAGCCAAGUCGCGUGAGGGAAGACGGCCCUACGGGUUGUAAACCUCUUUUGCCGGGGAGCAACGGGCGCCACGUGUGGCGCCACCGAGAGUAACCGGAGAAAAAGCAUCGGCUAACUCCGUGCCAGCAGCCGCGGUAAUAAGGAGGAUGCGAGCGUUAUCCGAAUUUAUGGGGGUUAAAGGGUGCGUAGGCGGAGCGUUAAGUCAGUGGUCAAAUGGCGGGGCUCAACCCCUUCCCGCCAUUGAAACUGGCGCUCUUGAGUGGAAGAGAAGUAUGCGGAAUGCGUGGUGUAGCGGUGAAAUGCAUAGAUAUCACGCGGAACCCCGAUUGCGAAGGCAGCAUGCCGGCUUCCUACUGACGCUGAAGCACGAAAGCGUGGGGAUCGAACAGGAUUAGAUACCCUGGUAGUC